This 73-nucleotide transfer RNA is filed under the name Ovis aries (sheep). It matches the Rfam family "tRNA". From Rfam's summary of the family: Transfer RNA (tRNA) molecules are approximately 80 nucleotides in length. The record is from Rfam by way of RNAcentral. Lineage: Eukaryota; Metazoa; Chordata; Mammalia; Artiodactyla; Bovidae.
UCCCUGGCGGUCCAGUGGUUAAGACUUUGCACUUUGAAUGCAGGGGACACAUGUUCCAUCCUUGCUCGGGGAA